Molecule: unclassified non-coding RNA, 286 nt
Filed under: Hevea brasiliensis (rubber tree)
Lineage: Eukaryota; Viridiplantae; Streptophyta; Magnoliopsida; Malpighiales; Euphorbiaceae
Source: RNAcentral
AAAGGAUUCCCAUCCAGAUUUGCUUUGCCCCUCUAAACCAGAGAAAACACUAAUAUGUCCAGAUGCCUCUUUCUAUUCCCUGCUUUUUCUCUUUAUACUAUUUCCCAUCCCUUUUUUGCUAGUUGUCCCUCCACGUAAUCCAUCCUCCAUGAUUCCCUCCAACAGCCCAUUCAUUCUGUUAGCCAUCCUUCUAGAAUUCUCCUUGCUAAACUCCAUUUCCUAUCAGUUUCAAUUUGAUUUUAGAGCAUUCAAUUUCUCCUUCAACGAACCCUAGAAAGGAAGAAUU